Molecule: long non-coding RNA, 2639 nt
Filed under: Prunus dulcis (almond)
Lineage: Eukaryota; Viridiplantae; Streptophyta; Magnoliopsida; Rosales; Rosaceae
Description: sRNA ncRNA
Source: RNAcentral
UUAAAUAAUAAUAAAAAUUAUUAAACGAAUGUUUAAGGCAUUAAUGACCUUUUUUUAGAAUUUUAAAAAUAGGUUUUUUUUUCCUUCCGUCAACUACAGUAGCUCCUCCUUCCCCAAAAUUCUAAAUCAGAGAGAGUUCACCCUUUACUUUUGUCGAGAGAAAACUACAGUAGAGUAGCUUCUUCCCCAAAAUUCUCUGCUCUGAUUUGAACCAUAGAGUUAACGCAGAGGUUGGGGUUUCGAAAACUGAUAGAUGGAUGGGUGGGUUUACGGUUUCUAAAAUUGAGAGACGGAGUGGUGUGAUUGCUAUGAAAGUAUGCUAAAAGUACAAGAUGAGAUUUCGAUUUUGAGUUGUAAUUCCCAAAAGCUUGAUGCCCUAACUUCCUAAUUGGUGUUGUAGAUGCAUGCUUCGAUUUGAGAAACGACGUUGAGCUAGUGAGAUCCUAUUCUGAAAGCAGCUUUUGAGACCAUGAGGUCCUCUGGUAAGAAAUCUUGGAUCUCUGGCUGUUUGGUUUUCAUCUUGAUGCUGCCUUUGUUUACUCUUUUUGGUGACUUUUGCUUAUGCUCUCUUGCUGUUUUAUUCUUGCUCUGAUUGUUUCAUUUUUUUUAAUCUAAUGCUUUGUGUGGUAUGGGCAGCCAUCUUUUGUCCGUUUAAUAUCAUCUCUUGAGCGUGUGAAGUUAAGAAGUUGAGCUACUACAUGGGUGAAGAAAGAAUUAAAAGAGUUUGUCAAGUCUUGUUUAAGCUGUAUUCACCUAUCAAGUUGGGUUCUUUCAAAGGAAUUUUGAUAUUGAAUUAUGGAACGUAUGCUUGAUGUGUUGAAUUGCUAUGAAAUUCUGUCUCUUUUUUGGGAUAUGAAAUUGUCAAACGAUCAAUUAGUAGUGGACGUGAAAUAGUUAUUUGAUCAGGAAAUAUCAUCUUAAGAGUUAUGUUCAUACUAUUUUGGGAAGAUGAACAAUACUAUUUUGUUCUUUCGGUUUCUUCUCCUAUUUUGUUCUUAUUAUAUGUUUCUUUUCAACAUGCCUUUCAUCCAGUCCUGUUUUUAGCUCAACUAUGGGAAGUUGAAGGCUUGUUCAUCAGAUUGUUUUUAUGCUUAACUGAAGUCUUAAUUAUCUUUGAUUUGAGAUAUAGCUCUGAUUUAAGUUUCGAGUUUCAUGCAUUUUUAUUAUUAUUGUACAAUUCUUUAAUCAAAAUGUCAUUUGCUCUACAUCUGCAUAUGGGUGGUUCAGUCAUUAUUUCUAUAUCAGUUCUGUGUUUCAUGAAUAUAACGAUUGUAUACAAAUUUUUGUUUAUUUUUCAUUUUCUUAUGAAAGAAUCAGUAAUAUCAUUCUAUUAUUCAUUGAUGGUAUGCAGAUUCUAUAUUUUUGUUUUCACCAUUGGCCAUCCAUACACGGAAUAUCCGUUAGUGCACACUUUUAGUGCAGAUUAGUGAUUUGAUCUGCAUGUUUAGCUGAAAUAUGUGUAUGGUAGACAAUAGAGAAGGGUUUGAGCAGAAGGUUCAUUGUAUUUGGUUGUGUUUGUUGGAAUGGGCUCGUAAGCAUUAAUACAUAGCAAAGCAUCAAGAGGGCCCUUCUCAACAAUGGAUAAACUUUUACUAAUUCAGGAUGCAGAACAUAAGGUUGAUUGUUAGCUUUGGCUUGAGUAAUUAGUGCAAGUUGUGCUAAUUUUAUGAUUAGAAAAGCACUCGUGUUUCAGGUUCUUUUCUUUGCGUUGUGUUGUAUAUGUAAUUGCAUUUUGACCGCUAGACUCUUGUGGUUGACCUUUACCUAACACAUUUUAAUAUUUUUUAACCGGCAAAAGCCAAUUUAGGAUUGUGAACCUUUUAUGAGACAACGCACUCAUAAGAAUUAAAAGUCAUUAUGAUUUCAUUCAAGUUUAGGGAAAUUUAGGAUUGUGAACCUUUUACUUAACAUAUGUUAUUUUUCAUGCACAAUGCUUAAUCUUCUCAUAUCUUCCAUUGCUGCCAUCUUACAGCAUAUCGUUCAAAAGCAUGAACCUCACUUUUGAAAGAUGUGAUCCUGCUCUGCUUAGGUGCAUUGUGAUUCCUCCGGGUAAUGAACUUUCUGAGUCUUCCUCAGUAGCUCACUCCUACUUUAAAAGGGGACAUCAACACUAAAGGUAUAUAUGCAAUUACUAAUCCGAACGGUUCAUUAAUUUACACGAUUUUUCUUCAUGUUUUGAAUUAAUUGCAUGAAAGAUUCAGUUUAGCUGUUACUUGGUAGGCUUUCUUUCUGAAUUCUACUCAAUAAAUAUGGUCAUGUGGAGAUUAUCCAGUUUAAGUCUUUUAUUCCUUUUAACAAUCCUAGUAUAAACCCUUGUGGGACAUUGUAGAACUGUGUUUAGACGCUCUCUUAUUUGUGUGUUCUGAUGGUCUAAAUUACUUCCAUUUUUUCAUGCAGAUUCAGGAAGCAGUCAAAGAAGGUGUGGUCAAACACGAGAUAUUGAGCAAGAGAUGUGCUGGUUGAAAUACAUUUAUCAAUUUAUUUUUAGAUUUUGUAUUUGAGAGAUGUAUGUCUUGUGAAUUUGUUGGGAAUUUUGAUACCUAUAUAGUUUUUGGAAUGAUAUAUGAUACACAUUGUAUUGGGUAUCAUGAUUUUAUCUUAAGUAGACUAUUUAUGAAGAAAAAAAGAAUAGAUGUGGG